UACAGAGGGUGCGAGCGUUGUCCGGAAUCACUGGGCGUAAAGGGCGCGUAGGCGGCCUGGUAAGUAGGGGGUGAAAUCUCAUGGCUCAACUGUGAGGCUGCCUUCUAGACUGCCGGGCUUGAGCAUGGUAGAGGCUGGUGGAAUUCCCGGUGUAGCGGUGGAAUGCGUAGAGAUCGGGAAGAACAUCCGUGGCGAAGGCGGCCAGCUGGGCCAUCUGCUGACGCUGAGGCGCGAAAGCGUGGGGAGCAAACAGG
Molecule: ribosomal RNA, 254 nt
Filed under: uncultured bacterium
Lineage: Bacteria
Description: partial 16S ribosomal RNA
Rfam family: Bacterial small subunit ribosomal RNA
Source: RNAcentral